AUUGAUGAUCGUUCUUCUUUUCCUUUUUGGAGAUGAAGAGGGAGAGGACGUAGUCUGAGUGGU
Molecule: small nuclear RNA, 63 nt
Filed under: Cervus elaphus hippelaphus
Lineage: Eukaryota; Metazoa; Chordata; Mammalia; Artiodactyla; Cervidae
Rfam family: Small nucleolar RNA U3
About the family: Small nucleolar RNAs (snoRNAs) are involved in the processing and modification of rRNA in the nucleolus. There are two main classes of snoRNAs: the box C/D class, and the box H/ACA class. U3 snoRNA is a member of the box C/D class.
Source: RNAcentral